RNAcentral lists this ribosomal RNA (431 nucleotides) under uncultured bacterium. RNAcentral describes it as "partial 16S ribosomal RNA". It matches the Rfam family "Bacterial small subunit ribosomal RNA", at positions 29 to 507 of the family's 1533-position model. The record is from RNAcentral.
AACGAACGCUGGCGGCAGGCCUAACACAUGCAAGUCGAGCGCCCUUUCGGGGGAGCGGCGGACGGGUGAGUAACGCGUGGGAAUAUGCCCUUCUCUACGGAAUAGCCUCGGGAAACUGAGAGUAAUACCGUAUACGCCCUGUGGGGGAAAGAUUUAUCGGGGAAGGAUUAGCCCGCGUUGGAUUAGGUAGUUGGUGGGGUAAUGGCCUACCAAGCCGACGAUCCAUAGCUGGUUUGAGAGGAUGAUCAGCCACACUGGGACUGAGACACGGCCCAGACUCCUACGGGAGGCAGCAGUGGGGAAUCUUAGACAAUGGGGGCAACCCUGAUCUAGCCAUGCCGCGUGAGUGAUGAAGGCCUUAGGGUUGUAAAGCUCGUUCAGCUGGGAAGAUAAUGACGGUACCAGCAGAAGAAGCCCCGGCUAACUCCGUG